Molecule: small nucleolar RNA, 90 nt
Filed under: Cephalotus follicularis
Lineage: Eukaryota; Viridiplantae; Streptophyta; Magnoliopsida; Oxalidales; Cephalotaceae
Description: Small nucleolar RNA R24
Rfam family: Small nucleolar RNA R24
About the family: snoR24 is a C/D box small nucleolar RNA which acts as a methylation guide for 18S ribosomal RNA in plants.
Source: Rfam by way of RNAcentral
CCUGCAGUGAUGAACUGCUAACAUGUGAGAAGAGCCAUUCCUGUGGUUUCUUCAAUGAAAUACUUUUGUUACGUGUGGUUUCUGAGCUUU